AAAUUUUCUUAAGGAACUCGGCAAAAUCCCAAUGGCCCACCAGGGCAUAUUGGAACACGGGCCUCGACUGUUUACCAAAAACAUAGCCCUCGGCCAAUAUGAAAAUAGAUGUAUAGAGGGUGAUGCCUGCCCAAUGGUUGUAUCUAAAAGCAGUUGAUAAAAGUCGACCUCGUAAGGACAAUUGAAUGGCCGCGGUAACACUGACCGUGAUAAUGUAGCGUAAUCAAUAGCCAAUUAAUUGUUGGCCAGUAUGAAUGGCGCCACGAAGGCCCCACUGUCUUAAGGAAAUUCCCAGUGAAAUUGAAUUCGUAGUGAAGAUGCUACGUCCAAUUUGUUAGACGAAAAGACCCCGUUGAGCUUUACUGGGGCACUUACACGGCCCUCGGCCUUCCCGUGCCCGGGAACCGGCCGAAUUUAAAUGGGUGGUUUAGACUAUGUGGCAGCCCCCCGCCGGGGCAGAUGAAACCCCACUCCCCCAUGUCAAAGGGGCUAACCCCCCCCUUGGGGGGGACAGUGUAAGUAGGACAGUUUGGUUGGGGCGACCGCCUUUUAAAGAGUAACGAAAGUGCGCUUAAGGUGCGCAAUUAAUGACUGAAGCCUGACUGCGAGGGGGAUACCCCGAGCAGACACCCCCCAAGCCCGCCCGAGGGCGGCGGUGGGGUGGGCCAUAGUGACCCGUU
Molecule: ribosomal RNA, 680 nt
Filed under: Palythoa cf. heliodiscus JDR-2017
Lineage: Eukaryota; Metazoa; Cnidaria; Anthozoa; Zoantharia; Sphenopidae
Description: partial 16S ribosomal RNA
Rfam family: Bacterial large subunit ribosomal RNA
Source: RNAcentral